AUGUUACUCCUCUCAGUUCCAGACAGGACAGGUUAUACUGUUACUCCUCUCAGUUCCAGACAGGACAGGUUAUACUGUUACUCCUCUCAGUUCCAGACAAGACAGGUUAUACUGUUACUCCUCUCAGUUCCAGACAGGACAGGUUAUACUGUUACUCCUCUCAGUUCCAGACAGGUUAUACUGUUACUCCUCUCAGUUCCAGACAGGACAGGUUAUACUGUUACUCCUCUCAGUUCCAGACAGGACAGGUUAUACUGUUACUCCUCUCAGUUCCAGACAAGACAGGUUAUACUGUUACUCCUCUCAGUUCCAGACAGGACAGGUUAUACUGUUACUCCUCUCAGUUCCAGACAGGUUAUACUGUUACUCCUCUCAGUUCCAGACAGGUUAUACUGUUACUCCUCUCAGUUCCAGACAGGUUAUACUGUUACUCCUCUCAGUUCCAGACAGGACAGGUUAUACUGUUACUCCUCUCAGUUCCAGACAGGACAGGUUAUACUGUUACUCCUCUCAGUUCCAGACAGGACAGGUUAUACUGUUACUCCUCUCAGUUCCAGACAGGACAGGUUAUACUGUUACUCCUCUCAGUUCCAGACAGGUUAUACUGUUACUCCUCUCAGUUCCAGACAGGACAGGUUAUACUGUUACUCCUCUCAGUUCCAGACAGGACAGGUUAUAAUGUUACUCCUCUCAGUUCCAGACAGGACAGGUUAUACUGUUACUCCUCUCAGUUCCAGACAGGACAGGUUAUACUGUUACUCCUCUCAGUUCCAGACAGGACAGGUUAUACUGUUACUCCUCUCAGUUCCAGACAGGACAGGUUAUACUGUUACUCCUCUCAGUUCCAGACAGGACAGGUUAUACUGUUACUCCUCUCAGUUCCAGACAGGUUAUACUGUUACUCCUCUCAGUUCCAGACAGGACAGGUUAUACUGUUACUCCUCUCAGUUCCAGACAGGACAGGUUACUCCUCUCAGUUCCAGACAGGACAGGUUAUACUGUUACUCCUCUCAGUUCCAGACAGGACAGGUUAUACUGUUACUCCUCUCAGUUCCAGACAGGACAGGUUAUACUGUUACUCCUCUCAGUUCCAGACAGGACAGGUUAUACUGUUACUCCUCUCAGUUCCAGACAGGUUAUACUGUUACUCCUCUCAGUUCCAGACAGGACAUGUUAUACUGUUACUCCUCUCAGUUCCAGACAGGACAGGUUAUACUGUUACUCCUCUCAGUUCCAGACAGGACAGGUCGCUGGGAAGAUUGA
RNAcentral lists this long non-coding RNA (1263 nucleotides) under Oncorhynchus mykiss (rainbow trout). Its description in RNAcentral is "lncRNA (ENSOMYG00000058476.1)". Lineage: Eukaryota; Metazoa; Chordata; Actinopteri; Salmoniformes; Salmonidae. The record is from RNAcentral.